GGAUUAGAUACCCUGGUAGUCCACGCCCUAAACGAUGAGAACUAGCCGUUGGGAGCAUCUAAGCUCUUAGUGGCGCAGCUAACGCGUUAAGUUCUCCGCCUGGGGAGUACGGCCGCAAGGUUAAAACUCAAAGGAAUUGACGGGGGCCCGCACAAGCGGUGGAGCAUGUGGUUUAAUUCGAUGCAACGCGAAGAACCUUACCUGCCCUUGACAUUGACAGAACCCUGGAGAGAUCCGGGGGUGCCUUCGGGCCUGGAAAACAGGUGCUGCAUGGCUGUCGUCAGCUCGUGCCG
RNAcentral lists this ribosomal RNA (293 nucleotides) under uncultured bacterium. RNAcentral describes it as "partial 16S ribosomal RNA". It matches the Rfam family "Bacterial small subunit ribosomal RNA", at positions 775 to 1067 of the family's 1533-position model. The record is from RNAcentral.